UACGGAGGGUGCAAGCGGUGCUCGGAAUUACUGGGCGUAAAGGGCGUGUAGGCGGGUUCGUAUGUCUGGCGUGAAAGCCCCGGGCUCACCUCGGGAAGUGCGUCGGAAACGGCGAGACUAAAGGCCCGGAGAGGGAGGUGGAAUUCCAGGUGUAGCGGUGAAAUGGGUAGAUACCUGGAAGAACUCCGGUGGCGAAGGCGGCCUCCUGGACGGUGCCUGACGCUGAGACGCGAAAGCGUGGGGAGCAACCAGG
This 253-nucleotide ribosomal RNA is filed under the name uncultured bacterium. Its description in RNAcentral is "partial 16S ribosomal RNA". It matches the Rfam family "Bacterial small subunit ribosomal RNA", at positions 524 to 776 of the family's 1533-position model. The record is from RNAcentral.